Pyrgilauda ruficollis (rufous-necked snowfinch) is the source of this 457-nucleotide long non-coding RNA. RefSeq lists it as uncharacterized. The transcript is spliced from 3 exons. Lineage: Eukaryota; Metazoa; Chordata; Aves; Passeriformes; Passeridae. The record is from RefSeq and is a predicted model, not a curated record.
UGAUACAGUAAAAUGUGAUGUGUGGGGUUAUGGUUAGGCUGGAUGCACCUUCCCCUGGUCCUGCUCAGCGUGCCCUGGGAGCAGCUGGCAGCUGCCAGGAGCAGCGCUGUCCCUUGGGAUCCAGCUGCUCGCUCAAAUGCUGACCGAAGGCGCUGCUGGCUGCGCUUGUGCUCGUGUCGUGGAACGAGCUUCUGGAACGAAUUCAAGGAAAUAGAAGUGACAAAAACUACUGACAGCAUGGAUUUGGAGUGUUCUGUGGGGUAAUCAGCUCUUGCCUUUUCUGGGUUUAGGGAGUCAUGCCAAGCAAGUUGAUUUUCAUUGCAUUUGAAAGUCAUCCCCCUCCCCAAAAACUUCUCUAAGAAUGUGACUAAAACCAAAGCACUUUUUAAGUUACAAAGGAAUAGUGUUGAGCUGGUGAAGCCAGCUGGAAAUGAACAUAGAAUCCCAGAAUUGUUUG